ACCCUACGGGGCGCAGCAGUAGGGAAUCUUCCACAAUGGACGAAAGUCUGAUGGAGCAACGCCGCGUGAGUGAAGAAGGGUUUCGGCUCGUAAAGCUCUGUUGGGAGUGAAGAAAGAUAGAGGGAGGAACUGGCCUUUAUUUGACGGUAAUUAAUUAGAAAGUCACGGGUAACUACGUGCCAGUAGCCGCGGUAAUACGUAGGUGGCAAGCGUUGUCCGGCUUUAUUGGGCGUAAAGCGAGUGCAGGUGGGUUAAUAA
Molecule: ribosomal RNA, 258 nt
Filed under: uncultured bacterium
Lineage: Bacteria
Description: partial 16S ribosomal RNA
Rfam family: Bacterial small subunit ribosomal RNA
Source: RNAcentral